RNAcentral lists this ribosomal RNA (51 nucleotides) under Dorea formicigenerans. Its description in RNAcentral is "partial 23S ribosomal RNA". Lineage: Bacteria; Bacillati; Bacillota; Clostridia; Lachnospirales; Lachnospiraceae. The record is from RNAcentral.
UUGGUUAUGCUAAUAAGAGCGUAUGGUGGAUGCCUUGGCACUAAGAGCCGA